This 547-nucleotide ribosomal RNA is filed under the name uncultured bacterium. RNAcentral describes it as "partial 16S ribosomal RNA". The record is from RNAcentral.
GGAGUUAGCCGGUGCUUCUUCUGUGAGUGAUGUCCUUCCUGCCGGCUAUUAACCCGCAGGCCUUCUUCCUCACUGAAAGUGCUUUACAACCCGAAGGCCUUCUUCACACACGCGGCAUGGCUGGAUCAGGGUUGCCCCCAUUGUCCAAUAUUCCCCACUGCUGCCUCCCGUAGGAGUCUGGGCCGUGUCUCAGUCCCAGUGUGGCUGAUCAUCCUCUCAGACCAGCUACGGAUCGUCGCCUUGGUGAGCCGUUACCUCACCAACCAGCUAAUCCGACAUAGGCUCAUCCGAUAGCGCGAGGCCCGAAGGUCCCCCGCUUUCCCCCGUAGGGCGUAUGCGGUAUUAGCCUGGGUUUCCCCAGGUUAUCCCCCACUACCGGGCAGAUUCCUAUGCAUUACUCACCCGUCCGCCGCUCGCCACCAGGGAGCAAGCUCCCCGUGCUGCCGCUCGACUUGCAUGUGUUAGGCUCGCCGCCACGCGUUCAUCUGAGCCAGAAUACGAACCUACGUACGUACGAGACGGGCGGUCGGCGACGGACGGCGACUAG